This is a long non-coding RNA of Chenopodium quinoa (quinoa), 5405 nucleotides long. RefSeq lists it as uncharacterized. NCBI's taxonomy places the organism in Eukaryota, Viridiplantae, Streptophyta, Magnoliopsida, Caryophyllales, Amaranthaceae. The transcript is spliced from 3 exons. The record is from RefSeq and is a predicted model, not a curated record.
AAUAAACCUAAAACUAAGGGAGAAAAACGCCCUAAUAUGUGUCAUAAAUGACACUUAUCAAGAACCAUUGACAAUAACAGAGAAGGAAACCGUGCUAACACAGUUCAUAAUAGUUUUCACCAUCAAAGUUGGAAGGCCAAACUUAACUAAAACUUUCUCAAGAAAGUCCCAUUUGAUUCUAUCGUAGGCCUUACUCAUGUCUGUUUUAAUUGCUAGUUUCCCUCUAACACCCUUCUUUGUUUUCCUAAUGUUUUCCAGUAACUCGUGAGCAAGUUAGUGAUACAUUUUGAAAUUCACCAACUAAGCCAUUGAUCACAUUUCGAAGCCAGGAAUAAAGGCAUUUUGAAAUUCACCAACUAAGCCAUUGAUCACAUUUCGAAGCCUGUUAGUGAUACAUUUUGCUAUGAUUUUAUACACAACAUUGCAAAGCCUAAUUGGCCGUAACUUGUUCAUAGAGUCGGGGUUAUCACAUUUAGGAAUCAAGGCUAUGUUCGUGCUGUUCAAUUCUCUUAAGAUGUUACCUGAGUUAAGGGAGGAUAACGCUGCAUCUGUUAUAUCGUCCUGCAACCAACUCCAAUUUUUUUGAUAAAACCCAGUAGGAACACCGUCCGGACCAGGAGCCUUCCAUGGCUUCAUAGAGAAAAGUGCAUUCCGAAUCUCUCUUCUAGUGUAUGGCUGAGCAAGCCUAUCCUUUUGAUCUUCGGUCAGCGAUUUAGAUAACCCCCGUAUUCCUUGAUCAAUUUAUGAAUUUCUUGAGUCGUCAGCAGCCGGACUGUUGCAUUCAUAAAUCUCCUUGAAAUAAGAGGUAGCUACUUGUGCAAUUUCUUCUUCAGAGGUAAGCCAUUCCCCCUGAUCAUUAACUAUUGCCGUCAAUUUAUUCCUAGCUCUUCUCCCUUUUACAAAAUUGAAAAAAUACCUUGUGCAAGCAUCACCUGCCUCAUUCCAAUUUAUUUUGGCUCUUUGUCUCCAAUAGAUGGCCAUAUUUUGAGAGUACUCUUCCAAAUUCUUGCUUACUCGUCUAAAUUCAGAAUCAUCUCCUUCACUUUCAAUUAGGAGCUAUGCUUCAAGAAUAUCCUUCUCUAAUUUAUCCCAUUCACCAUUCCACUCCUCCCUCUUAUUUAGAGUCCAUUUUUUUUAUUUCAUUUUUUGCCUUCUGGGUUUUUUUAACGAGCCUAAACAUGGGCGAACCAUUUAGAUUUUCGUUAUGUUAAUUUGGUAUUUAUGAAGCAAUUUUUUCUCUUUGGUAAUACUCGUAUAAAGUUCAUUGGGCAACGAUGCAUAAAUUGUGUUGCAAUUAAUUGUUAGGUGUCAUCAUGUUGAUGCAGUGACCUCCUAUGUGAGUGUAAUCACAAACAAAGCACUAUAAUUGUCUAACGAUUUAUUGGUCCUCAUAGGAUUAUCCUUUGUAAGAAUAGUUAAGUUGUAUUAUGAUUGGUCUUUUUCUAUAUUUGGUUGCCAUGUCAGUAGGAGUUAUGAUGAUAAUGUUUCACUUAACAAUGGUUAUGCCCAGAUGUAAUUAUGAUCCUGAGGUGUGAUAGAUGCUUACUGCUUCAUAAGUGUGCUAUGAGGUGAGAUAGUGGUAAGAAGUUGGUUAAAAGGGAGGAGGGAGCCUUUGCCCUUGUUUAGUUAAAAAUUAUGAUUAAGGUCACUUUUUCAGUUCUUAAUUGCAGUACUAAUGAGGCUAAGCCAAUAAAGUCAUAUAGAAGCCCUCAUUAGUGCAAUCCAUAACAGUACUAUGGCCAUCUUCUUAUAAAGCUGAUUAGUGCAAUCCAUGUUUUUUUUUAAUACAGAGUAUACAUGCUUUUAAAUGACAACCUGAUGCUAACCCAUAUCAUUUGCAAAUCUUUGUGUUGGAGAAUUUGAGAUCUAUGCAUUUUAUUCUUUGAUUUGAUUCUACAUGGUCUUCUAUCUUACUGAAAAUGUUAAGGUUUAAGAUUGAUCUUUCAUGUUAAUUUGUUGCUUCUGUUGUUUCUUGCAUUUUGUUGUUUCGAAUUAUGAAUUCAAUUGUUUGUUUGUUCAUUUAGUUACUGCUGUAGGAAGUUUCACCUUGUUACAUGAAGCUGUUUUUGUUAGGUACACCAUACAUAGACCACGAUUUGGUGACCAUCUUGACGCAAUCAAGUUCAUCUGUAAGGACUUAUGGCUUCUUCAAGAAAUAGAUAGACAAUCUGAAGAAAAAUCAUAGAGUUACAUUUAUGCUGCAACAUAAUCGAUUCCGUUGGCUAUUGUUUCGAUGUUUUUUGUGUCACUUCGGAGAGUUACGACUCAAAGACUUAAUUCGCCAAGGUCGCCUGUACCUACAAAACAAACGGAGCUCCGAAUGGCCAGAGGUCCGCCUCCAAAGAUUAAGUUAAUAAGAAAUCGGAGUAAAACGUGCGGAAAGUAAGGUAUCUGCUCGGAUUCCAAGCUUAGGUGUUCUCUGUUUUAUAGAGCAAUAAAGGCCUGAAUGAUUAAGACCUAAAGUUCGAGGUGUCAAAUGACUGUCCCAAUAAUUGGGGGAACCUCCCUUUUUAUAGGUUCUUAGGAAAACGUGCCCUACCCUAGGGUUUGAUGACCUAGGCAUUAGGGCAGCGCCAUUUUGCGGCGCCCUUGAAGGCCGCCAUUUCCAAAGGGGAAAUAUCUGAGUGACACGUGUCACGCAUCUCGAGGGUCCAUUUGGACGCCUCCUAGAGGGACACGUGUCGCUCUCUCAUUGGUCCACUUAGGGGUAUUAAUUACCCCAAAACUUUUGUCCCUUCACAGGAGUCACGUGGCAUGCUACGUGGCGCCUGUGACAAGUGUCGGCCUUUGAUUGGCCAAGAAGUUACUUUUUACUGUUCACUUGAAUCUAGGGCUUUAUCCCAGACCUUUUACCCCUCCUUUAAAUAGGAGGGUUGACCUCCCUUGGAUUCACACUUGUGUGAAUCUUUGGGAGAAUCUUGAUUCUUUGACUUUCAAAGAAUUUGACUUAUACAGCAUCCAACACUAGGCCAGCUCGUCCGCCUGUUCUAGCAAACGUUCCAGACUAAGCGCACCUCUAAUACCUUCUUCUAAGGUAAUAGCCUGAUCUUUUCUUUUACUUAAUUUUUUGUAUUUUUCUUUUUCAAAAAUUGUUUCCCAAACGCACGUGGCACAGCUUAGAUUAGCGAUCAACCGGUAACCGGGGACGGCUGAAUCUAGAACUAGGAGUGCCGAAUGCUCAUUCGAGAACUACCCUUUGAGUGCAUCUCCAAAUCCGACAUUGUCUGACCCCUAUAGGACACGAUGGCUAGAACAAAGCAAACGACUCGAAGAUAUAUGACGCAUGGUUCUUGUUACCAUUCGGAAAGCAAGACGAUCUACUAAGAUGGCUCCAUUAGGGCGCCUGUCUCCGAGGUUAGCAAAGACCCUCCAGGAAAUCCUCGUACCCAUUGUGACUCAUUUUUAGGAGAGUCAGAUGAUGAACAAACCCCUAACCCAAGUAAAUCGGUGACGGAUGCUGAGAUAGGGGAGGACACUGCUGGCACCAGCCGGCAGGCCCCCAGAGGAAAGUUCUGAUGAUGUCAUCAUCUUCUGACAGCUUCUCCGUCGGCUCAGAGGAGGCGCAGUCCAACGUUGAAACUGCCCGAGAAUCCCUCUCCGUAGAGAAGGGAGAGGGCUGGGAAGAGUCGUUUGCUUCACGGCGACAGGAACGUGCUCCUUAUUACUUGCUCGUUGCCAAAAGCAGGCGGGACAAGAUGACUGAAAACUUCAAAAAGUUUAUUUCCACUCUUGUCAUGGAACAUGGCUAUCUACUGUCCAUGCCGGAUGCUGGGAACACGGUCACCUGGCCACAAAUGGCCAGCUAUGGUGACUAGUGCUUCGAAUGCUAUGAGGCGUCCAUCUAGGUAGGACUCCGCUUCCCUCUUCAUCCGACAAUGUAGAAGAUUUAAGACGAAUACAAACUGGAUAUCCGACAACUAGCCCCCAAUUCUUGGGUUAACAUACUGGGCUACGUUGCCGCCUGAGAGAUGCUGGAGGUGGAGCCCAGCUUCAAGGCGUUUGCUCAUAUGCACUACCUGAGCAAGACUCCGCACGCAAGUGGGACAAGCUGGUUCACUCUCACCAGCCACAAACGUUAUAUGAUGGCUUUGGGGAAGUAGAACAAAUGGAAGGACUGAAGGUCCAAGUUUUACAACGUCUCUUCCUUAGACUUCUUAAGGAACAAGCGGUACAACCGCUGGAACGACGAGUCGCCCCACCUGGCUCGGAAGAAAGAAAGACCUGCCGCCUGUACCUAGGCGGGCGCAGGAGGAGAUUUUUUAUCGAGGCCUGUUUUAUAUGGUCGUCCGAUUAAACAAGGAGAUGGGGGUCAAGGAGGUAACCCCCUAAAGUUACAUUCCCCGAUUCGAGUGGCUCUCGGACGGGACAUAUUUGUCCGCUUUUGGCCUUAGUAAUGAGAAGCCGAGAGGUAGCUGGCCGCUUGAAUUUACUUGCUUUGCUACCCAUAUUGAUUUUUAAAUGUCUAAGUUUCUAACUCUUGUUGUUUUGUGCAGACAUAGCAAUGUCAAAACUUUUUGGUUACAACUAUCUCUACUGCCUUCUAUCAUUUGAACCUCAAACGAAGUGAAGAGCAACCGCCAGGUGGCACUCCUUAGGGUGGCUCAUCAAGGCCUAUUCCCACCCUACAGCCGGAUCCCAAGCUAGGGAAGCAGACGACUGGCGAUAUCUCUAAGAGCCAUAAAAACACAUCACCCACAAGCUGAAGAAGGGAAUGGGCGCCUCCUCCCCCAUCCAUACUCCAUCCAAGCCGGACACUCAGCAAAAAGCGUCGAAGAGUGGCAAGCCACUCAAUAUUGCUUUCAACUCAGCAGACAACAUCGAUUGUAACACCCCAAUAAUUCUCUCUUAAAAACAUGUGAAUACCCUGAACAAAUCCAAGAGAAUUAUUGGCGUGCUACCGCUACGUGUUCAAACAUUAAGGCUUUUUCAGAAAAUAGCAGCAGAAAAAUUAAAAAAAAUAUAUAAGUUCCAAAACUAAUAACCAAAACCAAAUUAAAUCUUACAACUUGGAACCCUUAAGGCCCUUAUUCAAAACUGAAACCAAUAGAAGUAGUAUGAAAGCAAAGUUGAGUUUAAAUAACUUUAAAUGUAAAUAAGAAAAGUAACCAACUCUCCACUCAAGAUCCCACCAUCUAGAAACAUAUGCUGCAUGUGUAAGAACCUGUGGUUAAUCUGCUCCUCAAUAUUAUAAGUGUAAAAAUUGGAUCGUCACAGGGUCAUUGAAAGACGAAUGCCAUGACCAAAGAAAGACACACACAAAAGCACGCAAUCGGCAAAGCUAAGUACAUACAAGUUGCGAAACAAAUUAAGAAAACACCUAACAUGCUACUAAUAAUCAAGCAUAAGCGUCAUUAAAUACAGACUCAACACAUGACUCAAUUAUCAAAUUUAUUAAGACCUCACUA